UACGUAGGGUGCGAGCGAUAAUCGGAAUUACUGGGCGUAAAGCGUGCGCAGGCGGUUAUGUAAGACAGAGGUGAAAUCCCCGGGCUCAACCUGGGAACUGCCUUUGUGAAUGCAUGACUAGAGUACGGCAGAGGGGGGUGGAAUUCCGCGUGUAGCAGUGAAAUGCGUAGAUAUGCGGAGGAACACCGAUGGCGAAGGCAAUCCCCUGGGCCUGUACUGACGCUCAUGCAAGAACGCGUGGGGAGCAAACAGG
This 253-nucleotide ribosomal RNA is filed under the name uncultured bacterium. Its description in RNAcentral is "partial 16S ribosomal RNA". It matches the Rfam family "Bacterial small subunit ribosomal RNA", at positions 524 to 776 of the family's 1533-position model. The record is from RNAcentral.